Long non-coding RNA from Gopherus evgoodei (Goodes thornscrub tortoise), 2694 nucleotides. Lineage: Eukaryota; Metazoa; Chordata; Testudines; Testudinidae. The record is from Ensembl.
CUGGUGGCUGCCAGAGCAACUGCCUCUGUCAAAAACCCUCACCAAAGGUAAACUCUUAUUAAACACACACAAAAAUGAAGCUAAAGCAUUUGAAAUGUAAAGCAGUGAGUAAGACUUUCAUUGUAAUAAUAUCCCUUACCCCCUUUGUCUUUCAGAAGGGUUUUCUUGAGGGGAAACGUCUGUUUCACAGCAUUUGAUGGUACUAACUGUCUUUUUGGGGAGAAAAGUGUCAGUUGCAAUAAUCUGGAGUGGCUGCUGUUGCUGCUGGAGUCUAAUUCUAUUCCCUUUCAUACAAAACAAGACCAGCUUGUUCGGAGAGAAAAGUCAAAAGAAACUUCCAUCUCACCAUCCUGCCAACCCAAGCUGCCUUCGAUUCCAAGGCCAGGUGGGACCAUUUGUAACACAGGCCCGAGAACUGCCCCAAAAUCAUUCCCAGAGCAGAUCUUUUAGAAAAAAAAUAUCCAGUCCUGAUUUGAAAAUUGACAGUGAUGGAGAAUUCACCAUGACCCUUGUAAAUUGUUCUGGUGACUAAUUAUCCUCACUGUUAAAAAUUUAAACCUCUUCUUGUGGCUCCUUUCCCCAGGACAAUCUGAGUUCAUGCCAGUCUUUCUUCAUCUUCUGCUGGCUUUUAUGAACAAUACGAAAACCUAGUUGGUCUUCCGUUACUCCUUUGACAUGAGUUUCCUGUACCAUUGGGUGGGGGUUGGGGUGUGUGCUGGCUAAUUGGAGUGAGUGCUUCUUGUGAACAGACAUCUGAGUUUUCUGAAGUACAGCUGUUAGCUCUCUCUGAAAGUCAUGAGAAUCAGCCCUACUUAGGGAGAUCAGGGAAGGGAUUUUUGUUAAGGCAGCUGCGUUCUUUAACCCAGGGCAUAUUUUUCUGAUCAAUCAAAUAACAGAACCAGGCUCAGCUUGGUGCAUUGGAAAUUCACUUCACUUCGGAAAUUCACUGUACUACCAACUCCCUAGUGUUCAAAAACCUAAGGUUAAUCAUGAGGUGUUUUAAAGAUAAUAAUGAAUUUUGGGUUCUUUCUAAUUGCCGUUGGGUUUUAAAGCUUUCAGAUGCCCUCAAGCUUUUCACCAUAGCCACAAGGGCUAGAAAUGUAUUUAUAAAAAAAGAAAAAGCUAAUAAUAAUAUGUAGCUCUUGUAGAGCACAUUUCCUCAGUAGAUCUCAAAGCACUUUACAAAGGAAGGAAGUAUAAUUAUCCCCAUUUUACAGGUAGGGAAACUGAGGCACGGGGCAGGGACAUGACUUGCCCAAGGUCACCCAGCAGGCUAAUGGCAGAGUUUGGGUAGAACCCAGUCCAGUGCUUUACUCCAUGACUCCAACACCUGGGGCUUUAAUAAAAACACCAGCUAUUGUGAGAUUUAUGAUCAAAUUGCAAUAGCUGGCAACUUCUCCAAAGUGAAAGAUGAAUGCAGCAAGUUUCAUUCAGAAGAGAAUGGAUACAUUUAACACCUUAUCUGUUCCUCUGAUAUGGAUGAGCGACUAAGAAAGAGCCCUGAAUAAAUCAACCAAUUAGCAAUUCUCCUUCUGAAGUAUAACACACAAAAUAGAUCCAAAUCCAGUCAGCAGAUGUCACUUAGGCUACUUCUAGACUACCCGCCGUAUCGGCGGGUUAAAAUCGAUUGCUCGGGAAUCGAUAUAUCGCGUCUCAUCUAGACGUGAUAUAUCGAUCCCCAAGCGUGCUUAUAUCGAUUCCAGGACUCCACCAACCCCAACGGAGUUGUGGAAUCGACAGGGGGAGUCGCAGACAUCGAUCCCGCGCCGUGAGGAUGGUGAGUAAUCCAAUCUUAGAUAUUCGACUUCAGCUACGUUAUUCACGUAGCUGAAGUUGCGUAUCUAAGAUCAAUUUCCCCCCGUAGUGUAGACCAGCUCUUAGUUCUGAUGCCUCAUUUCUGGAAUGGUGCCCAUCCAACACAGCUUCCUGCAUAACCCAGGCCAGAGAUUCUCAUCCACUAAUUUCUGCAUCUAGUCCAAUAUUUUCUAUUUGACCUAAAAGACAUUCAGUCUUGCUGAUGGACUCCAUGUUUAUUCAGAGAACCACCCUGUUCACAGCAAAUGUUUCAAUAUUUCAAUGUUUCCAUGCCCCUCCCUGUUGAACCUUACUAGUCUGAAUUUUUCUCACAUCCGUUCCCAGCCAUUGGCUCGCUUCCUGCUUUUGUCUGCUGGAUCUUAACAGAGCUGUCUAUGUUGACUGUGAUCAAAUGACCUCUUAGUCUUCUCUUGCAGUAUUUGGCAUUUUUCUUAAAGCUCCCAGAGUCCUGUGAUUCUGCUGGACAAAUUUCUCAGCUUUCAUUAAAGAAAAAAGCACGUUUUUACCCUUCAUGGUCGCAAAGAAAAGCUUGAAAACCUGCAUCCUAAAGACGCCAUCACCAGAAGGCAAAUAAACACAAUCCCACAGUUGGUUGUUUGUUUUUUUUUAAAUCUAAUGAUUUUAAGUGAAUCUCAUGAUUUUCUGCUGGUAUGAUUUGUUCAGCAAAACAGCCUGAACUUGCUGGAGAAAUGACAAUGUUAGAUAGACCAAGGUCCUGGGCUCCCAAACUUUCUGAUUCAUUCCCUGAUUUAACAAAUACAAAGGAAGUUCUUUGGCAUAAGAAAGUAAAGGGGAAAAAAGGCACAACAGUGUCCAAGUCUGCUUUAUAAUAAGUGGAAUUGGGCUUGUUUCCCGCUUUAAUUUUUGGAAGGUUGUGGG